This 10911-nucleotide long non-coding RNA is filed under the name Triticum aestivum (bread wheat). RNAcentral describes it as "long non-coding RNA (TAES_LNC006715)". The stretch from base 8400 to 8474 matches the Rfam family "tRNA". The record is from RNAcentral. Lineage: Eukaryota; Viridiplantae; Streptophyta; Magnoliopsida; Poales; Poaceae.
ACAUGCCAGCGCUUGUACCAAGUGCGGCCCUGGUCUAUGUCUUAUAAUCUGGAGUUGGGAACACUUUGUAUUAUACUCCUGUCUGGUGAUCGACCGAUCGGUUGCGUACAAGAAAAACCGGAAGCGCGUAAACGGACCGCGCCAACAAAAAAAGAGAGUGCGGGUGUGGAUAAUAUGGACAAAACUGUAUUUUGCUUACCCCCUUGAUUCUUUUGUAUGUAAAAUGUGGGCACUGUCAGACCUCACUGUGUGAUCAAAUCCUCUCUGUCCUGUCCUGUGUCCUGUCCUGAAGGUGCCUCUCGUUGUGGAUGAAUAAACAGCAAAUAACUUUGCAUAUGACUGGCCCCACCUGUUGAUGAUUGGUAAUUAAACGACGGUAAUUAUUGUGAUGAAUAAUUCUUUGAAGGCUGUAUUUUAUUUCACGUACAUCUCUACAUACGUGCAUGUUUGUAUUGUACGUGUAUUUGUAGUUGGUAUUUAUACACCGUACCUGACAUGGUACUGGGGCGAAGGGAACCGUAGAGAUAAAGUGCAAUCAUUCAUGUUCAAGUCCAUGUUUGCUCCGUAAAAAAAAGGACAGGCUGUGGUGUUGAAAUGUUAUUUUCUGAAUAAUGUCCCUCUUACACAUGCCAUAUAUGUUGUGGUCAGUUAAUAAGGAAUGUGGUACAUGCGUAAUCACAAAAGUGAAAUAUUAAAGUCAAACCUUUUUUAUCUAAAAAAACUUUUUUUUGUAUUAUCGCAAACUGUUGACUGAAAAUCGGGAUGUUUGGGUACUUUAGAAAAAUAGCUAGGAGCUCAGGCAAAAGAAGAAAUAAGACAAACGGGCGUCGAAAAUGGAACGCUAUACAAAAGUUAAAUUUUCAAAAAAAUUUGGGGUGAGAGAGGCUCGAACUCUCGACCUCAGGAUCACUCACGUCUAGCUAUGAGACCUACGCGCUAGCCAACUGCGCCACCACCCCUCUGGUGUUUUGCUGGUAAUGUGAAUUUAUUUAUACAUUACUAAAUGUUAAACAAAUCUUGUCUAAAAAGCAAGAUCAAAUCAUAUAGUUUCUCAUGUUAGAUGUACCUAACCAGGAAACUGGUAUCCUCUCCCGGUGAAGUGUGCCACGGAUUGCCCUCACUCCACGCUCCUCCUGUCAUGAUCGAGAUGCAAACUCCUCUGCAAAAAAAUGCUCUUCUUUGGCACUUCACUUUCUACCCGUAUCACAAGUCUCAAACGACUCUAAAAAGAAACAUCUUUUCUUGACCGGCCACUCGAGCUUACUCGCGAAGUAGAAACAAGGUAGCCCAUAAUUUACGGUUUUGAGGUUUGGUAAGUCGCCCAAACUUGCAAGAUCCGAUCACCUCAAAUUUGGGGUCACCAUUAUACCAGCAUAUAAUCUCCCUUCCAAAAGCACCAGCUCCGAUCACCCCAAACCUCCCGACGUUCUUCUUCAGAGGCACCCAAUGGACCUCGAGCAUGGCAAGAAGCCCCCUGCCAUCGCCGCUGCGGAGCUGUGCUCGCUCAAGGACAAGCUCGUCGGCCUGCGCCCGGUCCUGCUGCGAGCGGCGGCGGUCCUGGCGACGGCGGUGGCCGCGGUGGUCAUGGGGCUCAACAGGCAGUCCUACACUGCCGUGGUGGCCAUUGUGGGCACCAGGCCGCUCAGACAGACCUUCACUGCCAAGUUCAGCGACACGCCUGCGUUUGUGUAGGGCCCUCCUUGCUUUGCUUGCUUGCUGCCAUUACCUGUGAAAUUUACUGACAUGUUGUCUCUGUGACGGUAAACCGUCGAUUUUGCAGGUACUUUGUCAUAGCCAAUAGCAUUGCCAGUCUGUAUAACCUGGUGGUGCUGCUCCUCAGAAGGUGUAUUGUCCAGGGAAGGGCCCAGCAUUUGGUAGUGCAUAGGAUGGACAUGGUAAUUUCUUUUCUCUUAAUCAUAAUUUACCGACUAAAUGACACUUAAAAUUAUCUAUAAGCUGGCCAUUAUUUACUCAAAGAAAACCUCACGCAGUAGUAGUUUCACACUUUCAUCAGAGUAAGUACAUUUGAACUGUUCCUCAUAAACAUAUUUUAGUAGCGCGGAUAUCGAAUAGAUCUACGAGAGAAGCAACCAACUCAAUCUAAGAAAGUGUGUUGAUCUUAAAUGAAGUUUUCCCUACACAAUCCAGGCAGAUCUGACAAAUUUGGAGCCUUCUGUUGGUGCUACUAUGAAAACACAGCACUCAAUCUAAUCAAGAAUCUUCUUGCAACUAUCCACAACCAGUGGCUUGAGUGAAAAACUGCUGGUGCUGUGCUGCACUUGUAUUGUAGACACCUAGUACUGUAGCAUAUCUGGCAAACACAUGAUAUUUUUUUCCUCCUCCUUGCACUUUCAGUGUCCCAAAUAAGAUAAUCAUGGUUGUACUGGCCAUUACUUAUACAAAACCUCAUCCAGUAGUAGUGUCACACUUCCAUCAGAGUAUCUUUGGACUGUUUCUCACAAAAAUAUUUUAGUGGAGUAACCAACUUAGACUAAGUGUAUUGAUCUUAAAUUUAGAUGCUCCUACACAAUCCAGGGAUAUCUGAUAAGUUUCGAGCCUUAUGACGGUGCUACUAUAAAAACACAGCACUCGAUCUAAUCAAGAAUCUUUUUGCAACUAUCCAGAACCAGUGGCUUGAGUGAAACUGCUGGUGCUGUACUUUGUAUUGUAGGCACCUACUACUGUGGCACAUCUGGCAAAUUUCAAACCAGUAUUAACGGACGGCAACACAUGAUAUAUUUUCCUCCUUGUGCUGUCAAUGUCCCAGGUAAUCAUGGUUCUAUUGGCCACCGGUGCCGCGACAGCGGCUUCGAUGGCCGAGUUAGGCAAGAAUGGUAACUUGCACACGCGUUGGAACCCGAUAUGCAACAAAUUUGGUUCCUUCUGCAACCGUGGAGGUGUAUCUCUCGUGUUCUCGUUUGUCGGCGUUGCGCUCAUGCUAGCCAUGAACUUGCUCUCAGCUGCAGCCAACUCUCCCCGUGCCGUCGUCGCAGGCCAAUGAGCACUAGUACCUCAGCUCAGACAGCUGAUACCCAAGAGUACACUACACUGCUUAUGUCACUGGGAUGUGAAGUGAUGUGAGCCAGUAUGGUUGCAUGUGGGAGCUGGAUCUCAGGAGGAAGUGUGCUCAAGGCUGCAAGUGUGCUGAAUUUGGUGUACAACUGUAUAUCACCUUGCCUGGCCUGAAAUGUGCAGGCAGAUAAGCCCUGGUUGGUUAUGGGGCUUUAACUAGAUCAGCUCUUACAUUAGAUCAAGUUGUUGCACCAUUCAAUUCUACUACUUUGUGGUUGUAAACCAGUACUCACAACUGUCCCGGCAUUUGGCCGCAUUUGCUCAAUUGGAUGAUACAUCGCAUCGUUCGAGAAGUAUGUCUGGUGAGGUUUGGUCUUUCACAACAGUUUGUACCUGUUGUACUGCAUGGAACCCUUGUUUUAUUACCUGAAUAGUGAAGUUGUUUGGAGUUGCUUGAAAUGAUGCAUCCAGCACCAGCCUUAGUUAUGGACUUAAUGGGGCAAAAAUUCAGGAGUUGGUCAGUUGAUGUAGAUUUAUCGGAGAAGGAGCACAUGCAUGUGAGCCUACCAGGCAUCUCCGCAAAAAUUCAGUCAACAUGCAACUAGGAGCUAAGUGAUUACCACCGGUGCAGCACAUCAGCCUAACAAUCUAUGACAACCACAACCUAGUCAUAAUUCUGAGUUGCCAUGGAUUUUUCCUUUUAAAAAGAACUAGUAUUAGGUGAUAAAAUUUGCAUUAUCUUCAGUUCAAUUUAGUCUAUACAUUGGUAGUGAUCCUUCUGUCUGCGUUUAAUAUUAUCUACUUAGCUUCAAGAUCAUUAAACUUUUCUGAAAUUUGAGCGGUUUGAGUAAAAAAUAACAUAAAAUUUGGGACCAUAAAUCAUGUGUUAAUAUGUUUAAAAGUAAAUAAAUCAUGUGUAAAGAUAAGAGCAGAUAGGGUUACCUAGCAGCUGCCUAGAUUCACAGCUUGUCCUUUGUUUUUGUUUUUUUUAAACACAGUACAGACACAAACGCUCAUAUACACGCGCAUACACUCAUCCCUAUAAACGCACACACGCACACCCUAAACCUAUGAGCACCUCCAAAAGACUGAGCCGGCAUAUCAUCUUGAAAUUUAUGAAGUCACCGUAGGCACCUCUAACCAUCCAACCACAGGUUGGUUCGCGCUUGUCCUUUGUUUCUGCACUCUACUCUUUCCACAUUAUUGGUAUGGAUGUACAAGACUUGUUGCUAUACGCAUAUGGUACUAGUAUUCAUGACAUGAGGUACCCUGAAAGGUGCCAUCAAGCAGAGAAGGGUGGUCACUCUCACUCAUGGAGCUGGCCAGCAUAUGAAGAACAGGGCACUGAAAGAAAAACAGGGCCUUUCAGCAUACUGUUCCUCAGUUUGUGUGUCGUCAAUUGCAUAAAUAUCGCUGGUGAUCCGCAAAAUAAUGAACCCUCAAAUGAAAACUAUGACGUUUUGCACAUUGACAAGAUCUCCGAAAGUGUAACUUUGACCGUUAGUUUCUACUAUAAUAUAAUAAUAAAACAUAUAAAUAAAUAUUAUAGUAUAACAAAGUUCGAGGGGGAAAUCUACGCAUACCAUUUCUACACGCUCAAUAAAGAUAUUUUAGAAGUAUUGUGGUAAAAAAUAAAAUAAUAUGUUAGUAUCAUACUGUGUGAAAAAAAAUACUAUUCCUCGAUUUGUGUGUUGUAAUUUGCAUCUGUCGCUGAAUUAAUAUACUCCCGCCAAUCUAGUUACUAUUUUUUCGACAAUGACAAAGUCUCCCAGGUGUAACUUUGAGUUAGCCUCUACUAGUACAAUAUAACUAUAAAACCUAAAUAAUAUUACAUGAUAUACAAGAAUUUUGAGGAGCACAUCUAUGCAUAGAUCCACAUAUCCAAAAAAAAAUAUUUCAAAAAGUAAUGUGGUAAAAAUGUAAAAUUUUAGACCGAAACUAUAUCUAGAACGUCAAUGUUUUGUGGAUCGGAUGGAGUAGCCGUAAUCCCAAAGUAAAAUGGGUUGCGUGCACAAUACAUAUUCUCUUAUUUUCCGCACGUACUACCAAAAGAGGUGCAGUUUUUAUUGUAGUACUACAUGUUAUAUCAUGAUGAAGACUCAUGGAUGGUUAUUAAAAAUAAUCGUAACACAUUGUGUGUGCAACCACGCAACAUAGUCCCAUGAUACUUUUCAAAAUGAAUUUCACCGGCACCUGUUCUGCAUCUGGACUGAUUCUGAUUUUUUGCACAAGCUCCAAUACUGGCACAGUACUAUUUAUGUGGAAUUAGUUGUGGAAUCAGUUGAAUUAAUUUGUUUUUGGAACUGUGAUAAGCAUGCCGAUGAGGCUAGUGAGGAUGCGUUCUCAAUCAACCAUGAUGUUCAUUGAGGGAAGAACAUUCAGAAUUCCAGACACAAAAAAGGACCGUCAGGGGGACAUAAAUGAUCUGAUCUGUCAGAUCACUGCAACCUGUACUUCUGAAUGUACAUACUUCAGCAAUCAUUAGAGUGUUCUCCAAAAAAAAAAUCAUUCCAGGGUUUUAGUCCUCCAAAAUCGACUGGAGAAAAAGAAAAUCACCGCGUCCUCUACUAAAUACUCACACUCAAGAAACAUUGCACCAAACAGACAUAAUUAUACAUUUUGAUAUGAAAUCAUCACACACACACACACACACACUGCAGAUUAACUACUAGCUAGCCAGUUGUCUGCUUAUGUUUUCUGGAUAAAUAAGCAAAUUCGCCUAGAAGUGGUUCCAAGUAGAGCUCACUGCAGCAGCCAUCUGAGGAGACAUGCUCGGCACCACCUCACCACCCAUGGAGCUCAGCUGGCUCAGCACUGCCUUAAGGACCUUCUUGUCACAGUUCAUGGCGGGGUCUAGGUAGCUCCCAAAGUCAGGCAGGCCAUGGUCCAGGUAGCUCAUGCCAUUACUGUUGCCUGUCACCAUGGGGAGGUAGCUGCUGUUGCUGGCACUGUUAUUACUGAAGCUGGAGAAGCAGGGCACUUGCUCAAGUGCUGCGGCGGCGGCGGCGGCUGAGGAGGUGUUCAUGGUGGCCUGGAGCUGUGCUAGGGUGGUGUCCAUGAGAGGUGGCAGUGGCGGUGAGGAGGUGUCUGUGGAUGUGCCAUGGACAAUGUUGGUGAGGUUCCUUGGCCUGGGGGUGGCACCAACUCCUGAUUUCUUCUUGCAGAUGACUCUGCACAGGACCCAGUCCUCCUGCUGAAAACACAUGGAGGAUCAAGAAGAGAGCAUUGAUUGGUCAGUAGUUCAAUGGUAGGUGCAGUCUUACAAGGUGAUGUGAAUGAGAUCUUGGUGAUCACUGUCACUGUACUUGCUCUUGGGUGCAUCACUUGUCACAGUGAAGUGAUGUGGACAGGACCAUCCUAUGUAACCCUAAUUGGUUCAUGCAUCCAAUCAAGCAUUUUUCCUUUUUCUUUUGGGGAAUUGAUAAGAUUUACCUUUUACAUUUUGGUUACUUUUUUUGGUCACCUCUUUUUAUUUGGAUUGGAUAAGCUUUACCUAUUUGCAGCUUGCCAAGAAUCUUCUUCUUUUUUUAGGCAAGAAAGCUGGCUAAGAAUCUAACUAAUCCACUUCACUAUCCUGGAUUAUAGGUGACCAACUUGUUUGCAAAGUCAUCACAAGGUUACAUAUGAAAUUCAUUAAGAACUUUGUCAGAAUCGUAUAUUUAUUCCUGGUCUCUAUCAGUUGUAAGUAUGUUUUAGAGGAGCGCAUUUGCGUGACUGCAUCCAUGUGGUGGUGUGUCUACUUUUAUGCUUAAUCGCAAGACAAAUCAUAACAUCAAGAAAGUUUAGUGCUUCUACUAUCUUUUUAAACAAUGUUAAACAUGAACUUCAUUGAACUAUUUGAACAAUAAAAAUCAUUGAACUAUUUGAGAAGAAAGAAAAUGGUACUUCAAGUAGUUGGUAUAUGUUGUCAUUAUCCAUAACAGCUAACCAAUACUAUAUGUUAACAUCAGCCCACCAUUUUCCUUUUAUUUAUUUUAAAAAUUAGAACAAAUUAGUCCUUAUUAAAUAGGACGUCUACCGCAACAAAACCGGUGGAUGAAAAUGACCAGUCCCCCUAGAAAAUUAAUUGGCAAGUAGCAACCAAUAAGUAGAUGGAUUUUUUUAUUUUGAAUAUAAAUAAAUGAAUAGAAAGUGACAGGUCAAGAAGUCCAUCUCAUGUGUACAGUACGUCAAACUUGAAAACAACUAUUAAAUACAAGCUUAUACACUGCAAGAAAUCUCCUAUACGAUUGGUUGUGCCCACCCAAUUUGUACCUACCUAGGUCAUAGCUAUGCAGAUGAAUAUGUUUUGCAUAACGGAAAAUAAAUAAAUCAAUCGAUGGUUUUGCACACCACUACUCACUGAACAUUACAUAUGAUAUAUUCAUUUGUUUCAUGCAUGAUCUAGGGUUUUAGUGGCAGCUUAUUACCUUGGAAGCUUGCUCAUGUGCACCCUCCAACCUGUAUUCAUGCAUCACCCACUCAGUCUUCCUCCCUUUAGGGGCCCUCCCUUGGUAGAACACCAAUGUCUUCCUCAUCCCCACUAGGGCGCCUCGUCGUGCCACCACCCUAUCCUUCCCGGUCGCCUUCCAGUAUCCCGACACAGUAGCUCGGUUCGUGCGCUGCCCCGUCGCGUAUUUCCGAUCCUUUAGGCUAUAGAAAUACCAUUCCUUGCCGCCCACCGAUGCAGUCACUGAUAAGAAACGAAAGAUAGUAUAAAGAUACCAACAUGAUAAAGAAAGAUAUUAUCAGAAGUAGUAGCCGCUAAGCUAUCAAACUGGUCCCACAAAUAAACGACGGCAAAGCCCUAAAAAAGCUUGAGGUACCACAACGGGGGUUUCUCCAUCAUGUGUUCUAUCCUUUUGACGGUGACAUUGACACGUUUCGAUAAAACCGCGCAUCCAAGAGACGGAACAGACCACGUCGAUCUCAUCGACCCUCCCCCCACCUUCUUUUUUUUGUCACAACUGGCCCCUUUUAAUGGAAGUCGGCUUAUUUACCACUAGAAAUAAUCGAUGAGCAAGUGGUAGAACUAGAGGUUAGAGGGAGACAUGCCAUCCUAGAUGUAUCAAUCAAGACGUGUAUGGCCCAUGCUGAUCCUCUGCAGUGGAGCCCACGAGCAUGCAAGAUGGGAUUGUGCAGUUUGUCGGGAUUAGACAGGGAGAGGGCACGCGUCCCAGGGUGACGUCAUAAUUGGUCCGGUAAUACUGGCUUAAUAAAUUAAGUACGAUCCGUUAAUAAACUGUACAGGUGUCGUGGUGUAGUUGGUCUAGCACGUCGGCUUUACACGCUGAAGAUCUCCGGUUCGAACCCGGACGAUGCCACAAUUUUUUUGUGCUCCUUUUUUAACCUAAAUAGGUGAUGAUGACGUCAUACCAUAUAUGCUUGUUGCAUUAACACAAUCGAAAGGUGUCGUGGUGUAGUUGGUCUAGCACGUCAGUUUCACACGCUGAAGAUCUCCGGUUCAAAUCCGGACGACGCCAAAUUCUUUUUUGCUGGGUUGUUUAUUCUAGAAUUACUAUUACUGUUUUUCAUUUCCCUUUUUCCCACUGAACUUUGAAAAAACAAUUGCCUACUGAACUUGGUAAUGGUGAUGGUAGAUUGUGCAGCAGUAAUUUAAAGGCUGAAAUUAUAUUUUUUCCCAUAAAGUAGUGCAUACAUUUAAAUUGUGAAUUUUCACAAAAAAAAGAUUUAAAGGAUAGACUUUGGAAAUAAAAUAAAUAGCAACAGAAGGAAUGUUGAACCACAUGUGAACUAAGUAGAUCUUUAAAAUUUUCCUCACAUCGUCUCACCAUCUUUUUUUUCCGGAACAAGCAUUAUUUGUCUUGUCUACAACACAUUAUGGUUGAUCUAUAUAUUUAGAAGACAGAAAUUGUAUGCAUAAAUAUAGCGUGUAAUUACUAAGAUCUAUAUAUUUAGAAGGCCUGAAAUUUCAGUACCAGCCUUGGAGUAAAUGGAAGAUCCCUGCUCUAUAUGCACUUUUUUCAUGAAUUCUUAUUGGAACACAACGAUACAAAUUAUCGCAAAAUAUAUAGGUGUGUAUAAAUAAUAGUUUCUGCAUAUUACCCCCUAGCUAGAUCAAAGGUUUCUAUUCUUAUAUGCAUAAAAGUAUAACAUGGUGCUCAGCAUGCGCGUCGCUAGCUAGAGAUCAUACAUUGACCAAGGGGGACACGAAAUAAUAGUUUCUGCACAAUACACCAAAUUAGAUAGGAUAAGUUACUAAAAAUAUACGCACGUAAGCUUAGAGAUCAUUUUUUCUUUCACAUAAUAUAGAAGAUAAAGAAAACUACAUAUGCAUCUGAAGGUGGGAAAAUGAUUUGGGGAGCUGGAAUUGUGAAGGACAAGAAAAAGAUUCUAGAUUCGAGUUAACCACACUUUUUCUAGCAAAGUGGAAUUGGUAAAGGCUAUAACUCUUUCAUUUUUGGAAGUCCCCCACUUGACAUAUUCCUCUAUCAGAGCCUAACCAGAAAGCGACCCCCGUUUCAGACUGCCACUUCAAAGAUCAAAGAUCCUUUAAAAAAAUAUGCACGCGCAUGAUCAAUCGAUAAGAUUGCAAAUAGCUAUGGAACAUAUAAGAAAAAAUCACUAGCAGUUCCAGUUUAUGGGCCAAUUGCAUGCCUACUAGAACUAUUCUUCUGUGAAGCUUCAAAGAGUACUCCAAGUCAAGUAUUAAUAGUUAAUUUUUCAAACUUCAAAGACGGUUUCCGGUUCCGAAAGUUUAUAAUAAAUCAGAUUCGCUUGGAUUUCUAUGAGGGAGAAAGAACUCCGAGCGUAGAAGAAACGCUGGAGUUUCUUUUUCAUCUUGUCCUUGAUAGAAAUGAGAUAAGACAAAAGGGUGCAGUUUAGUGUGCAUGCUAUAUGUGCACAACACAUUGCGGGCUUUGGCAUGUUUCUUAGCACGGAAGCAACACCAACGGGGGGAAAUAAAAGGAGAACAAAAUCAAAGGGAUGGAACGAAAAAAGUUGGAUUGAACAGAAAAGGCCAAGAACGUUGCAUGUGGGACACAUUUUCUCUCUCCACCGUCCUCUCUCUCUCGCUCGAUCGAUAUGCAUCCAUGCAAGAUCGUACAAGGAAUUCUUGAUUGCGUCUAAUUAAUACUAGUCACUUCACAUCGGUGCAAAGUAGAGAGAGAGAGAGAGAGAGAGAGAGAGAGAGAGAGAGAGACGUACCAGGGAGGUCCCAUGGCUCGACCUUGUUGAGGUCGACGUCGACCAUGGGCGGGCGGCGGCCGGAGAAGCCGACCUUGCCGGUGACCUUGGGCGCGAGGUAGUCGCAGAUGAGCUCGUCGUCUCUCGGGUGGAACCGGAACCCCGGCGGCAGCUCCGUCUCCACCAUGCUCAGGAAGCUCAUCGACAUCUCUCUCUCUCUAUCUCUUUGCUGAUGCGACGAGAGAGGAACACGCAGUAGAGAGAGAAACGGAACGGGGCAAGCAAGCAAGAGAGAGAGAGAGGGGGGUGGAGUUGUGCUUGUGUCAUGAGUUCGCAACUUGUGAAGAAAGAGAGGUUUAUAAGGUGGUUUAGGUGGUGGGUCUACCUCAAGCCUUUUCCUCUUCACCUAUUAUUCCUUUUUCUUUAUUUCCAUUUCGCCUUUUCUUUCCACAAAUAAGAGGAGCAGCUUCCAUGUCAGCACAAGAGACGACCGGCCACAAGCUAGCUCCACGCAUAUGCAUAUGCAUAUGCCACUAGCAACAGAUUUUUUUUCUACAUUUUUCUCUCAAAGUAAUAAGAAAUUGUUCUAAAAAAGAGGGGGCAAAAAGGAAUAUCAUCUUGGAUAAGUGGAACUGAAAAAGGCUGAAUUGCUAGCUAUCCAACACCAAAGAUAACCAACUGGAUCCACUUGUCAAUGUGUGGCUAUCCUAGCUAGUACUCCUUUCAGUAAAAUGUUAAAUGCCAUUUCAGGAGGAAAACAAAAAAAAAAAA